UGCGAUACGCAUUGUGAAUUGCAGAUUUCAGUGAACCAUUAGAUCUCCGAACGCAUAUGGCGCUGUAGGGACUUCCCUGCAGCACGUCUGUUUCAGUGUCUUU
Molecule: ribosomal RNA, 103 nt
Filed under: Eimeria cylindrica
Lineage: Eukaryota; Apicomplexa; Conoidasida; Eucoccidiorida; Eimeriidae
Description: partial 5.8S rRNA
Rfam family: 5.8S ribosomal RNA
About the family: 5.8S ribosomal RNA (5.8S rRNA) is a component of the large subunit of the eukaryotic ribosome. It is transcribed by RNA polymerase I as part of the 45S precursor that also contains 18S and 28S rRNA.
Source: RNAcentral